CAGUAGCCACGGUAAUACGUAGGGUGCAAGCGUUAAUCGGAAUUACUGGGCGUAAAGCGUGCGCAGGCGGUUAUAUAAGACAGAUGUGAAAUCCCCGGGCUCAACCUGGGAACUGCAUUUGUGACUGUAUAGCUAGAGUACGGCAGAGGGGGAUGGAAUUCCGCGUGUAGCAGUGAAAUGCGUAGAUAUGCGGAGGAACACCGAUGGCGAAGGCAAUCCCCUGGGCCUGUACUGACGCUCAUGCACGAAAGCGUGGGGAGCAAACAGGAUUAGAUACCCGGGUAGUCCCUGUCUCUUAUAU
RNAcentral lists this ribosomal RNA (301 nucleotides) under uncultured bacterium. RNAcentral's name for it is "partial 16S ribosomal RNA". It matches the Rfam family "Bacterial small subunit ribosomal RNA", at positions 509 to 809 of the family's 1533-position model. The record is from RNAcentral.